CACGGACCUCAGGGGGCGGAGCUACACGGGACAAGAGCAACUGCUACAGAUCCAUCCUUCCUGCCACAGCCAGCCAGCCAGAUAAGUUAAUGGAAAAAUUACAGGUCAGAUCCAGAGAGAGCUGACACCGAAGUUGCAAAAGAAAUCAGGUAUGACCGACAUCAGCACCACCUUCACUACAUACACAGCUGUAUCACAGGUAUUCAACAACAUUCAACUAUCGACAUAGGAAUGAGGGGAGUUGCAGAGGCAUAAGAAAAAGGAAUGCAGUGUGAAUAGAAGAAACUAUCUGUCCACCAUAGAAGGACCAGGAGACAGUAGAAUAUUUGAUGCUGAUGUCGUCGCCAUGGCCACCCGACUGGCAGCCGUGACGUCACUUCCGCAUCAGCUGAAGUGCAUCGGGACGCCAGACAGGAAGUCAGAACGGCGUGGCCAGCAGUGAUCGCCGGGGGGGGAAUCCGUUG
Molecule: long non-coding RNA, 464 nt
Organism: Pseudophryne corroboree (corroboree frog)
Lineage: Eukaryota; Metazoa; Chordata; Amphibia; Anura; Myobatrachidae
Exons: 5
Source: RefSeq, a predicted model, not a curated record